Long non-coding RNA from Thunnus maccoyii (southern bluefin tuna), 2804 nucleotides. RefSeq lists it as uncharacterized. The record is from RefSeq and is a predicted model, not a curated record. NCBI's taxonomy places the organism in Eukaryota, Metazoa, Chordata, Actinopteri, Scombriformes, Scombridae. The transcript has 2 exons.
GAGAGUUGCAGAAAACAAGUUGUAAACAACAAGGAAACAACACUUGAGAAAGUUGUGAUCUCCAUGUAGCAGGAUUAACAAAUUUGGCUCCUGCAGUGCAGCGAUGAGCAAAAGUAUCAACACACAGUUAAUUAGAGACAACUUGUUACUCUGUAACAUGCAAAACCUGUGAUUAAAUUGUUGCAUAAAGAUAAGCAGCGGUAUUUAUGGAGAUCUCCAUAAAUAAAUGACCUUGGUAUGACCAAUUCAUAAUGAGAUACAAAACACAAGAUUGUCAAAAUGAUCAAAACAACAUCAGUUCAGUCAUCAUCUCCUCCCGGUUCCUUCAGAUCUCAGUCAUUCUCAAAUACAUCACUGAAGAAAAAACACAAUUAUUCAAUUUACGUUAAUGUACGACCAAGAAAACCAGCUAAUUCUGAAAUUUAAGAACCUGGAACCACCUGAUGUUGGGUAUUUUUUGCUUGAAAAACACCCACCACUCUUGUUUUAGUGUCAUAUGCCAAUUCUAAGUGCCAUACACUUUGAUUAGUGGUUUGCUGAUGCUGUUCAGCUGGCAUAUGGCACGUAAAAACUGUCUCACACAACACAUUUUUACUGACAUACAGGCUGAUGUUGUAACAGUUUGUUACUUCUUUAUUGUUGUUUUUUUUUAACUAGCAUAUUGACAUAAUGACCAUAAACACAUACUCAAACCAUGUCCAAGGCUAUGCUCUCUGGAAGGCAUACAGAGCUCACACACAGCUAGAGCUAGCCCUGCUAACUUAGUGAUGACAAAUGUAUAGUGACAGCUUGCUACAAGGACUGAUUAUCUUCCACUAUAACCUUAUGGCAUAAUCUACAGUACCAGUUUUACGUGGCAUCUGCUGGUGAAAACUGGCACCCGUCAGUGGUUUUAAUGCAGUGUGCCAAGUCAAAGAAGCCGCAGAUCACUAGUUACAGUGAAACACCACAAACAAUUGCAUAUAACAAGACAACAAGAGUGGCACACCAUCAGACAGUGAACACUGGUAUCUGUUGGAGGAACAUGUGUGACAUGAUUGUAAGUGGCACACAGCAGCAGCAUAUCAUAAUCACUAGUGGUGUAUUUGUUAGUAAGAAUCAGUGUAUGCUGGCAGGAAGUGGUAUCUACCAGUGGAGCAUGGGUGACAUACUGUUCAUAAUUGGCAUAUGCCAGUAAAAUAACAGGGGCUCACGACGCCAACAGUUCCAGAAGUGACAUAUGUGAUUAAAAAGAGUGGCAUAGUAUUAGUCACUUUUUGAUGUUGCGCCGUUCCAGUAAACUCACUUUGUCUGCAGGCAGAACCGCGCUGUAAUCUUAAUAGUAAACAACAUCGUGAGCAGCACUAAUUUGAUGUUAGUUCUGUGCUGGCAUUAUAGAAUAAUAUGAUAUAUAUAAACUGUAUAGCAAACAUAGCAAAACAUAUAAAGAAGCAGGUUAACUGAGGUAUCUUUCCAUCAGUCCUUGUUCCAUAUUAAGGGGAGUUUUGAGUUUUACUCUGUAAAAUUAUGUUGCUUCUUGUAGAAAAUGCCCCACGGAUGAUGUUUACAUUUUAUAUACCCAUCAGCAGACCCGACAGGAAACCAAGAAGAGAGCGGAUUUCAAUCUCCUUCAUCCAUCACAGAGCCGAGACAGCAACACAAAGAGGACUGGAGCUCAUGUUGAGGCAAAGGAUGGUGUGCUACUACUUACUGAAUAGUCAAUUGUUAAUUUGAUUCCUAUGAGAUAAUGGACACAUUGUUAGCUUCUGUUUGGUUUGCUGCGUCUUACAUGUAGAAGAAGAAAAUAUUAUUAAUAACAUUAAUUUAAUUUGCUAUUACUGUUCUACACAGAAAAGUACAAUCAUAUAGACAUGACAUCAUCGUCAUAUAAGUCAAUGUAAUGCUCUUCCUCCUUCUUUCCUGCACCACUUACUGUAUGUGGCUGGUUCAGCAUCAUGGUCACAGAUUAAAUUCAAAUCAUCUUACAAUCAUCUUAAAUAUAAAAGGUUUGAGUUGGGAUUAAUACCAAAUCAUCCUAUAUCAUAAAUAAUUCAGUCCUACAUAUUCUCUCUCUCACUUGUUUGGCAAAGCAGAGUCUGUUUUUGCAGUAGUAGUGAAUGCAGCAAUAUUCCCACACCUUAAUAUCAAAUUCAUAAUAUACCCACACUCUUGGAGUGCUCACUCUUGGGAUCAGAAAUCUUAGUUCAAGUUCAUACAGCAUCAUUUUAUACAGUUUAAGAUGCUUAAAUGAAUAGUUUUUAAAUGAACACGUAUUGCUUUCUUUAUGAGAGUGAGAGGUUCAGAUGGAUAUCAGUCUCAUUCUGUGUGUUAAGUAUGCAACUAGAGUCAGGACACUGUUAGCCUAACUUAAUAAAAAAUAAAAACUGAUAGUAGAGGGAAACAGCUAGCCAUGUUGAACUGGUCCUUUAACGACAGUAAACAGCAACAGAGAGAUAAAAAUGACUGAAUAAAAAGGUCUUGAGGUUGUUUUUUUUAUCAAAACAAUAUUGAACAUAUACAGUAUAGGUCUGUGUUUUUGACUAUGAUUAAUCAUUAAUAUCAAUACCAUAAUAGAAUGGUAUUUUUCAUUCAGAUGCAAUUUUUAGAACAACUUGGUACCAGAAUUAGUUUGGAUUGGAUUCUCUGGAGUGUUGAAAAUGAGUCUAAUCAAUUUCCCCAUUGAAUUCUAAUUUGAUUAUAAUCAAUUAUCUUGUUCAAAAAAUGUUUUUUUCUUUUUAAUAAAUACACGUUUCAGGCGUUCUGUUGAAUGAAACGGCUAAGUUCCUUUAUAAAGAUGAAGUUGAAUAAAUACGUACUUUGGCUCA